CUCAGGAUUGGCCGGAC
This 17-nucleotide unclassified non-coding RNA is filed under the name Mus musculus (house mouse). Its description in RNAcentral is "oocyte_clustered_small_RNA5296". Lineage: Eukaryota; Metazoa; Chordata; Mammalia; Rodentia; Muridae. The record is from RNAcentral.